CCUACGGGAGGCAGCAGUGAGGAAUAUUGGUCAAUGGGCGGGAGCCUGAACCAGCCAAGUCGCGUGAGGGACGACGGUCCUAUGGAUUGUAAACCUCUUUUGUCGGGGAACAAAGGCGCCCACGGGUGGGCGGAUGAGAGUACCCGAAGAAAAAGCAUCGGCUAACUCCGUGCCAGCAGCCGCGGUAAUACGGAGGGUGCGAGCGUUAAUCGGAAUUACUGGGCGUAAAGCGCUCGUAGGCGGUAUGUCAAGUCAAGGGUGAAAUCCCCGCGCUCAACGUGGGAACUGCCUUUGAAACUGGCAAACUGGAGUGUGUGAGAGGAUAGUGGAAUUCCAGGUGUAGGAGUGAAAUCCGUAGAUAUUAGGAGGAACACCAGUGGCGAAGGCGGCUUACUGGACUGUAACUGACGUUGAGGCUCGAAAGCGUGGGGAGCAAACAGGAUUAGAUACCCCGGUAGUC
This 460-nucleotide ribosomal RNA is filed under the name uncultured bacterium. Its description in RNAcentral is "partial 16S ribosomal RNA". It matches the Rfam family "Bacterial small subunit ribosomal RNA", at positions 338 to 795 of the family's 1533-position model. The record is from RNAcentral.